GAUAGUGUUAACUUGUAGUGAUGAAAGAGUGUAAGCGUGGAAGAAUGAGAUUGAUAUUACCAUUGUGAGUUUUUCAAAGAUUCUUCACUACACAAAGACCUUAGACCUAUCACAAGAAGUGCAUUUGGGAUAAGGGAAAGGGAAGUUUUUGCGUUUGUGAGAAUGGGAAAGUUUGAAAGAAUGAUGGCAGAGUUUGCAAAGGAAUUGUUGGUUACCGUAUUUGUCAUGACCGUUUUUGUACAA
RNAcentral lists this ribosomal RNA (243 nucleotides) under Fervidobacterium thailandense. RNAcentral's name for it is "partial 23S ribosomal RNA". The record is from RNAcentral. Lineage: Bacteria; Thermotogati; Thermotogota; Thermotogae; Thermotogales; Fervidobacteriaceae.